This 3163-nucleotide ribosomal RNA is filed under the name Saccharomyces cerevisiae (brewer's yeast). It matches the Rfam family "Bacterial large subunit ribosomal RNA". Lineage: Eukaryota; Fungi; Ascomycota; Saccharomycetes; Saccharomycetales; Saccharomycetaceae. The record is from RNAcentral.
AUAAUCAUGGAGUAUAAUAAUUAAAUUUAAUAAAUUUAAUAUAACUAUUAAUAGAAUUAGGUUACUAAUAAAUUAAUAACAAUUAAUUUUAAAACCUAAGGGUAAACCUUUAUAUUAAUAAUGUUAUUUUUUAUUAUAUUUAUAAUAAGAAUAAUUAUUAAUAAUAAUAAACUAAGUGAACUGAAACAUCUAAGUAACUUAAGGAUAAGAAAUCAACAGAGAUAUUAUGAGUAUUGGUGAGAGAAAAUAAUAAAGGUCUAAUAAGUAUUAUGUGAAAAAAAUGUAAGAAAAUAGGAUAACAAAUUCUAAGACUAAAUACUAUUAAUAAGUAUAGUAAGUACCGUAAGGGAAAGUAUGAAAAUGAUUAUUUUAUAAGCAAUCAUGAAUAUAUUAUAUUAUAUUAAUGAUGUACCUUUUGUAUAAUGGGUCAGCAAGUAAUUAAUAUUAGUAAAACAAUAAGUUAUAAAUAAAUAGAAUAAUAUAUAUAUAUAUAAAAAUAUAUUAAAAUAUUUAAUUAAUAUUAAUUGACCCGAAAGCAAACGAUCUAACUAUGAUAAGAUGGAUAAACGAUCGAACAGGUUGAUGUUGCAAUAUCAUCUGAUUAAUUGUGGUUAGUAGUGAAAGACAAAUCUGGUUUGCAGAUAGCUGGUUUUCUAUGAAAUAUAUGUAAGUAUAGCCUUUAUAAAUAAUAAUUAUUAUAUAAUAUUAUAUUAAUAUUAUAUAAAGAAUGGUACAGCAAUUAAUAUAUAUUAGGGAACUAUUAAAGUUUUAUUAAUAAUAUUAAAUCUCGAAAUAUUUAAUUAUAUAUAAUAAAGAGUCAGAUUAUGUGCGAUAAGGUAAAUAAUCUAAAGGGAAACAGCCCAGAUUAAGAUAUAAAGUUCCUAAUAAAUAAUAAGUGAAAUAAAUAUUAAAAUAUUAUAAUAUAAUCAGUUAAUGGGUUUGACAAUAACCAUUUUUUAAUGAACAUGUAACAAUGCACUGAUUUAUAAUAAAUAAAAAAAAAUAAUAUUUAAAAUCAAAUAUAUAUAUAUUUGUUAAUAGAUAAUAUACGGAUCUUAAUAAUAAGAAUUAUUUAAUUCCUAAUAUGGAAUAUUAUAUUUUUAUAAUAAAAAUAUAAAUACUGAAUAUCUAAAUAUUAUUAUUACUUUUUUUUUAAUAAUAAUAAUAUGGUAAUAGAACAUUUAAUGAUAAUAUAUAUUAGUUAUUAAUUAAUAUAUGUAUUAAUUAAAUAGAGAAUGCUGACAUGAGUAACGAAAAAAAGGUAUAAACCUUUUCACCUAAAACAUAAGGUUUAACUAUAAAAGUACGGCCCCUAAUUAAAUUAAUAAGAAUAUAAAUAUAUUUAAGAUGGGAUAAUCUAUAUUAAUAAAAAUUUAUCUUAAAAUAUAUAUAUUAUUAAUAAUUAUAUUAAUAAUAUAUAUAAUUAUAUUAUAUAUUUUUUUUUAUAUAAUAUAAACUAAUAAAGAUCAGGAAAUAAUUAAUGUAUACCGUAAUGUAGACCGACUCAGGUAUGUAAGUAGAGAAUAUGAAGGUGAAUUAGAUAAUUAAAGGGAAGGAACUCGGCAAAGAUAGCUCAUAAGUUAGUCAAUAAAGAGUAAUAAGAACAAAGUUGUACAACUGUUUACUAAAAACACCGCACUUUGCAGAAACGAUAAGUUUAAGUAUAAGGUGUGAACUCUGCUCCAUGCUUAAUAUAUAAAUAAAAUUAUUUAACGAUAAUUUAAUUAAAUUUAGGUAAAUAGCAGCCUUAUUAUGAGGGUUAUAAUGUAGCGAAAUUCCUUGGCCUAUAAUUGAGGUCCCGCAUGAAUGACGUAAUGAUACAACAACUGUCUCCCCUUUAAGCUAAGUGAAAUUGAAAUCGUAGUGAAGAUGCUAUGUACCUUCAGCAAGACGGAAAGACCCUAUGCAGCUUUACUGUAAUUAGAUAGAUCGAAUUAUUGUUUAUUAUAUUCAGCAUAUUAAGUAAUCCUAUUAUUAGGUAAUCGUUUAGAUAUUAAUGAGAUACUUAUUAUAAUAUAAUGAUAAUUCUAAUCUUAUAAAUAAUUAUUAUUAUUAUUAUUAAUAAUAAUAAUAAUAUGCUUUCAAGCAUAGUGAUAAAACAUAUUUAUAUGAUAAUCACUUUACUUAAUAGAUAUAAUUCUUAAGUAAUAUAUAAUAUAUAUUAUAUAUAUAUUAUAUAUAAUAUAAGAGACAAUCUCUAAUUGGUAGUUUUGAUGGGGCGUCAUUAUCAGCAAAAGUAUCUGAAUAAGUCCAUAAAUAAAUAUAUAAAAUUAUUGAAUAAAAAAAAUAAUAUAUAUUAUAUAUAUUAAUUAUAAAUUGAAAUAUGUUUAUAUAAAUUUAUAUUUAUUGAAUAUAUUUUAGUAAUAGAUAAAAAUAUGUACAGUAAAAUUGUAAGGAAAACAAUAAUAACUUUCUCCUCUCUCGGUGGGGGUUCACACCUAUUUUUAAUAGGUGUUCACCCCUCUUCGGGGUUCCGGUUCCCUUUCGGGUCCCGGAACUUAAAUAAUUAUGGAAAGAAUUAAAUUAAUAUAAUGGUAUAACUGUGCGAUAAUUGUAACACAAACGAGUGAAACAAGUACGUAAGUAUGGCAUAAUGAACAAAUAACACUGAUUGUAAAGGUUAUUGAUAACGAAUAAAAGUUACGCUAGGGAUAACAGGGUAAUAUAACGAAAGAGUAGAUAUUGUAAGUUAUGUUUGCCACCUCGAUGUCGACUCAACAUUUCCUCUUGGUUGUAAAAGCUAAGAAGGGUUUGACUGUUCGUCAAUUAAAAUGUUACGUGAGUUGGGUUAAAUACGAUGUGAAUCAGUAUGGUUCCUAUCUGCUGAAGGAAAUAUUAUCAAAUUAAAUCUCAUUAUUAGUACGCAAGGACCAUAAUGAAUCAACCCAUGGUGUAUCUAUUGAUAAUAAUAUAAUAUAUUUAAUAAAAAUAAUACUUUAUUAAUAUAUUAUCUAUAUUAGUUUAUAUUUUAAUUAUAUAUUAUCAUAGUAGAUAAGCUAAGUUGAUAAUAAAUAAAUAUUGAAUACAUAUUAAAUAUGAAGUUGUUUUAAUAAGAUAAUUAAUCUGAUAAUUUUAUACUAAAAUUAAUAAUUAUAGGUUUUAUAUAUUAUUUAUAAAUAAAUAUAUUAUAAUAAUAAUAAUUAUUAUUAUUAAUAAAAAAUAU